GUCUGAUAUGUGCUCACUGUGUGUGCACAGAAAACACUGUUAAACAACAAAAACAACAACGGAAAAUAAAACACCUGUAAAAAAAAUCUAUAUGGAAAACUCCUUUACAGUUAAGAGUAAACUGGCAAGACUUACAUACUUUCUACUUUCUACAUAAAGGUGGAUUUCUGAACCCAAGCUGCUGAAGAAGCUCCUGAUUGGAUAAAGCAAGGACUGGAAACAAUUAACUAUUUCAGCUCCAUCUGAAGAAACGUGAGCGAUUCACAGAGUUUUGUCUGGUUGGUGUUCAGAUGAUCUGCUGGAGAUAUGAGCAACUGAAGAUCAGCUAAACUCUCAAUGUUGCCAUUUGAUUUAAUUUCAACCAUGAGAGUUUAUGAGUCCAUCGUGGUUCACGAAACAACUCUCAACCUGCUGUUUAUCAGACUACCCAAUGGAAGUGCAAGAGGACAUACAACACCGGUUUCAAAACCACAUCAUUUCACAAAUGAAGAAGGAAAUGAAGUCAUUUCACAGACUCAAAUGAAUUUCACACAAAAACAAACUGGAGUCGACGGGUCUUUCACCUGUUCUGAGUUUGGAAAGAGUUACAGAGAUGAGAUAAACCUUAUGAAACACAUGAGAGUUCACACUGGAGAAAAGCUGUAACAGUGCUCUUCACGUCUCAUCAUCUACAGGCCGCUCAUAUGAAAAAGCAUGGUCCGAAGGCGUUUAACUAAACAAAGUUCACAUUUAGAUGCAUGACUUACAAGUUAUUUGACAUUCAGAUUAAUAAAAAAAAAAAGAUGGAAUUUGUUUGAAUAAAGUAAUCUAAGAGGGUGAUUUGCUAUGAUUAGUGGUGAAGUUUGAAUCUGUUGGAGAUUGCUCAAGCUCUGUCACAACCACAGUAACAUGAUCUACACGAUUCAGCUUUACUGAUCAUCAAACAUUGGUUUUUACAUUAAACAAUGUUUUUCUUUUUAUUCUGUUUUUGCUUAAAGGGAUAGUUCACUCAAAAAUGACAAUUGUGUCAUCAUUAAC
Long non-coding RNA from Carassius gibelio (silver crucian carp), 1017 nucleotides. RefSeq lists it as uncharacterized. NCBI's taxonomy places the organism in Eukaryota, Metazoa, Chordata, Actinopteri, Cypriniformes, Cyprinidae. The record is from RefSeq and is a predicted model, not a curated record. The transcript is spliced from 3 exons.